UCUCCUAGCCUAAAGUCAUCCCGGGAAGCGCUUUCCUUUUGACAGAAGGGAGCUGAUUCGCUAGUUGGUAGACCAGGGAAGAGGAGAAAUCCAAACGUCUUAUAAAAGGUCUGGGGCGUUUUGUGGGAAGGGAGUCAUGGAGAAAUAAAUAAAAUAUCAGUUGGAAGUUUGCGAGCUUGUGGAUAUCCAUCCCACGACUGGAAAGGCAGUGGAAGGGACGAAGGACAGAACGGAAACGAAGCGAUCGGGACCUGGGGACUUGGAGAGGAAAGGGCGAACGCCUAAAGGCUGCUGUGGAUCUGAGGAACUCCGGGCCAACCUUAGACUCGGGUACGGAAAAGGCGAAAACCACGGAAACUGUACUUACUUUCGGAGGGGAAGUGGGACGGCAUGUCGAUUUUAUAAACCUCCUUGGCGUAGUACUCCUCGUCGCUUCGCUCGCGCUCGCAGGCGGCUGCCCUCCGGCUUGCCUUCUCCUGCAGCAGCCAAGGGCGACAGAGAUCAGCCACCUCCUUAACCCCCAGUGGAACAACACCGCCUCCUGGGCGCGUUAGCUGCAAGCAGUCCCCGGACUCACACCCUUCUCUAGCUUUUCCUCCAAGCUUGCACUUUCUCGCUUAGGGUCAGCUCCAGAUGGAAACAGGUCUCUGGGUUAGACCACCGCCUAGGAUUCUGUAAUCUGAAACAGAACUGAUCGAGAGCUACUGUGCGGCUGAUGGUCCCAUCAGCUGGAGUCGUCCUGUGAGUCC
Molecule: long non-coding RNA, 749 nt
Filed under: Rattus norvegicus (Norway rat)
Lineage: Eukaryota; Metazoa; Chordata; Mammalia; Rodentia; Muridae
Description: long non-coding RNA NONRATT008547
Source: RNAcentral